Molecule: ribosomal RNA, 466 nt
Filed under: uncultured bacterium
Lineage: Bacteria
Description: partial 16S ribosomal RNA
Rfam family: Bacterial small subunit ribosomal RNA
Source: RNAcentral
GACGAACGCUGGCGGCGUGCUUAACACAUGCAAGUCGAACGGAAAGGCCUCUUUCGGGGGGUACUCGAGUGGCGAACGGGUGAGUAACACGUGAGUAACCUGCCCUUGACUUUGGGAUAACUUCAGGAAACUGGGGCUAAUACCGGAUAGGAGCUCCUGCUGCAUGGUGGGGGUUGGAAAGUUUCGGCGGUUGGGGAUGGACUCGCGGCUUAUCAGCUUGUUGGUGGGGUAGUGGCUUACCAAGGCUUUGACGGGUAGCCGGCCUGAGAGGGUGACCGGCCACAUGGGGACUGGGAUACGGCCCAGCCUCCUCCGGGGGGCAGAGGGGGGGAAUAUUGCACAAGGGGUGGAAGCCUGAUGCAGCAACGCCGGGGGCGGGAUUGCGGCCUUCGGGUUUUAAACCGGUUUCGCCCAUGACGAAGCUUGUGGUGACGGGAGGGGGUAAAGAAGCACCGGCUAAUUAAGU